This 270-nucleotide long non-coding RNA is filed under the name Elaeis guineensis (African oil palm). Its description in RNAcentral is "long non-coding RNA (EGUI_LNC057395)". The record is from RNAcentral. Lineage: Eukaryota; Viridiplantae; Streptophyta; Magnoliopsida; Arecales; Arecaceae.
GUUGGAGGAAGAAGAAGAUGAAGAAGAAAAGAGUGAAGAAGAAGAUGAGGACAUGGAGCGGCUAAUAUGAAAAUUCAAGAAGUUCCUCAUCAAGAAAGGUUUGAAGAGAAAGAAAGAGGAUGAAGAAAGAAAAAGAAAAAAUGUCAUAUGCUACAAAUGCAACAAAUGUGGACACUACAAGCCGAAUUACCCCCUACUCAAGCAAAACCCCAAAAGGAUCAAGAAAAGAGCAAUGCUAAGAAUUUGGAGAGAUAGUGACACAUCAAACUC